CAGUCGAACGGACCUUUCGGGGUUAGUGGCGGACGGGUGAGUAACGCGUGAGAAUCUGCCUUCAGGAUGGGGACAACAGUUGGAAACGACUGCUAAUACCCGAUAUGCAGCGAUGUGAAAGAUUUAUCGCCUGGAGAUGAGCUCGCGUCAGAUUAGCUAGAUGGUGUGGUAAAGGCGCACCAUGGCGACGAUCUGUAGCUGGUCUGAGAGGAUGAGCAGCCACACUGGGACUGAGACACGGCCCAGACUCCUACGGGAGGCAGCAGUGGGGAAUUCUCCGUUGUGGUCGAAAGCCUGACGGAGCAAUACCGCGUGAGGGAGGAAGGCUCUUGGGUCGUAAACCUCUUUUCUCAGGGAAGAACAAAAUGACGGUACCUGAGGAAUAAGCAUCGGCUAACUCCGUGCCAGCAGCCGCGGUAAUACGGAGGAUGCAAGCGUUAUCCGGAAUGAUUGGGCGUAAAGCGUCCGUAGGUGGUUAUGUAAGUCUGUGGUUAAAGCGCGAAGCUCAACUUCGUAAGGGCCAUGGAAACUACAAGACUAGAGUUAAGUAGGGGUAGAGGGAAUUCCCAGUGUAGCGGUGAAAUGCGUAGAGAUUGGGAAGAACACCGGGUGGCGAAAGCGCUCUACUGGACUUAUACUGACACUGAAGGACGAAAGCUAGGGGAGCGAAAGGGAUUAGAUACCCCUGUAGUCCUAGCCGUAAACGAUGGAUACUACGUGUUGCCCGUAUCGACCCGGGCAGUGCCGUAGCUAACGCGUUAAGUAUCCCGCCUGGGGAGUACGCACGCAAGUGUGAAACUCAAGGAGUGG
RNAcentral lists this ribosomal RNA (810 nucleotides) under uncultured bacterium. Its description in RNAcentral is "bacterial SSU rRNA". It matches the Rfam family "Bacterial small subunit ribosomal RNA", at positions 59 to 912 of the family's 1533-position model. The record is from RNAcentral.